UGGAAGUGGUUACACCUUAAGGCAGAGCUUAUACCUCUGACUACGGUACGAUCAGCAACUGGGGUGAAGUCGUAACAAGGUAGCCGUAGGGGAACCUGCGGCUGGAUUACCUCCUUUCUAAGGAAGACCAAAAUAUUUCUUUUGGUCUCAAAAAAUAAAGUUAAUGUGGCCGUCCUCAUUUCUCUUCUUACUAAUUAAAGUGUCUCAUAAAUGCUUAGGGGCCGGUAGCUCAGGUGGUUAGAGCGCACCCCUGAUAAGGGUGAGGUCGCACGUUCGAGUCGUGCUCGGCCCACCAUUUUUCAUGGGGGAUUAGCUCAGCUGGGAGAGCGCCUGAUUUGCAUUCAGGAGGUCAGCGGUUCGAUCCCGCUAUCCUCCACCAAAUUUGUCACUUUUAGUUUUUUUAAAUUGUAAAUAAUGAAUAUCAAUUUUGAUUGUUCUAACAGUAUGAACAAUCAAACAAUAUCUAUAUCCGAUUGUUCGAAUAGAUGAACAAUCAAUAAAUAUUCGAAUAGAUGAAUAUUUAAUUAAAAAUUUAAUUUAGACAGAAAAUUAUUUUCUGUGCAUAAAUCAAGCGUUUAAGGGCGUAUGGCGGAUGCCUAGGCACUGAAAGGCGAUGAAGGACGUGGUAUACUGCGAUAAGUUUCGGGGAGCUGUAUGCAGGCUUUGAUCCGAAAAUUU
RNAcentral lists this unclassified non-coding RNA (678 nucleotides) under uncultured marine bacterium. RNAcentral's name for it is "partial contains 16S ribosomal RNA, 16S-23S ribosomal RNA intergenic spacer, and 23S ribosomal RNA". The stretch from base 566 to 678 matches the Rfam family "Bacterial large subunit ribosomal RNA", at positions 1 to 113 of the family's 2925-position model. The record is from RNAcentral.